Long non-coding RNA from Drosophila ananassae, 581 nucleotides. RefSeq lists it as uncharacterized. The transcript has 2 exons. The record is from RefSeq and is a predicted model, not a curated record. Lineage: Eukaryota; Metazoa; Arthropoda; Insecta; Diptera; Drosophilidae.
UAUUACGGCAUACGUUUCAUUUCUAAACAAAUCAAAAUGAAAAAAAAAAAAAUUGUUGAUUAACUUUUAUAUUAGUAAUAACAAUUUAAAAAAAAUUUACUCCAGACAAUAAGCGAUGGCUGAAAAAACGUAAAUAGUAUUACGGCUAUUUUUUGUCAGUCCGGAUUUUAUUGUCCGCUACUGUAUAAACAAAUAAAAGAUUGGCCUCUUUUGCACGAAGAAAAAAACCUCCAUGUGGUAUUCUCUGGGUGCCAGUACUAACUGGUAGCUAAUUUGAGCAGCGAAAGGAUCCUUGAAAAAAAUUGGUGCAAAUGAAAAUAACGAGCCUCGGAUAAUAAUUGAAAUUGGAAGAGAGUGGGUGCCCUGUACGAUAAGUGGAAUGGCGUUCAGCUCCAAAAAGGGUUUGGGCCACCUUGCUUCUGGUCACAUGUCACAUCGGCACAAAGACGAACUAGAUGAACAAAGUCUACGUGUCGAUAAAACUGCAAGGUGGUCUGAAGAAGAAUCUUUGAUGAUGGCGUGAAAGGAGGUUGAGCUUGCAGCAAGUGGUUUUCGAUUUCUAAAUAAAAAGCUUGUGGUGA